CCCGGGCCCCGGGAUGGAGCCCCUCGGGGAGCCUGCCGCUCCCCCGCCCGCCUCUGCCCCUCUCGCUGUGUCUCGGGAACAAAUAAGUGGCACCUUUAGGAAAUAAUGAUAGGAUCAGGAGAAAGUUUGCUGCCCUGUCUUCCCUCUUUCUGUUGGUUUUAUUCAUUUCUUGCUCUUUUUUUUUUCCUUAGGAAUUUAAAAAUGCUGAAAAGCAGAUACUGUGAUAUGUUCCCAGGGACCCCCGGCAAGGUGAGAGCUAAGAAGUAUUCCGAGGCCAAGUCAUGGAUCCACCAGCGCGUAAAGAAAAAUCCAAAGUUAAAGAACCUGCCAGCAGAGUUGAGAAGGCCAAGCAGAAAUCAGCCCAGCAGGAGCUGAAGCAGAGGCAAAGAGCAGAGAUCUAUGCCCUCAACAGAGUCAUGACAGAGCUGGAGCAACAGCAGUUCGAUGAGUUCUGUAAACAGAUGCAGCCUCCUGGAGAGUGAGCCACCCUAUGCUCAAACUAGGUGGGACCCUGGAGGCUCUGUUUGUCAGCUUGGUACCAGUUUUACUGAGAUGAUGAUCCACUUGGAACCUUACAGAUUUAGACAAGAAGACAUUUGCAUUAUUCCUAAAACUGGAUAAAUCUGAACUUCCUGUAUGUACCUUCUGCUUCAUUGGUUCCUUCAGUCUGAAUUGGCCCAAUGCUUGCUGAAGAGACUUGUUUUGUUCUCCUAAGACAAUAGAUUCUUUUUUUUUAACCUUUUUUCUAUUGUUUGAGAAAAAUCAGUGUUUCUUGUGAAACUGUAGAUCUUCUCCAAAAAUACAAAUAAAAUACUAAUAAAACAUU
Canis lupus familiaris (dog) is the source of this 826-nucleotide RNA transcript. It is a transcript of the gene named small vasohibin binding protein, with no coding region annotated. The record is from RefSeq and is a predicted model, not a curated record. Lineage: Eukaryota; Metazoa; Chordata; Mammalia; Carnivora; Canidae. The transcript has 3 exons.